This 509-nucleotide ribosomal RNA is filed under the name uncultured microorganism. RNAcentral's name for it is "bacterial SSU rRNA". It matches the Rfam family "Bacterial small subunit ribosomal RNA", at positions 9 to 506 of the family's 1533-position model. The record is from RNAcentral.
GAGUUUGAUCUUGGCUCAGAUUGAACGCUGGCGGCAGGCUUAACACAUGCAAGUCGAGCGGGGGAGAUUGCUUCGGUAAUUGACCUAGCGGCGGACGGGUGAGUAAUACUUAGGAAUCUGCCUAUUAAUGGGGGACAACAUCUCGAAAGGGAUGCUAAUACCGCAUACGCCCUACGGGGAAAGGACAGGGAGUCACUUGUGACCUUGCGUUAAUAGAUGAGCCUAAGUCGGAUUAGCUAGUUGGUGGGGUAAAGGCCUACCAAGGCGACGAUCUGUAGCGGGUCGUGAGAGGAUGAUCCGCCACACUGGGACUGAGACACGGCCCAGACUCCUACGGGAGGCAGCAGUGGGGAAGUAUUGGACAAUGGGGGGAACCCUGAUCCAGCCAUGCGCGUGUGUGAAGAAGGCCUUAUGGUUGUAAAGCACUUUAAGCGAGGAGGAGGCUCCUGUAGUUAAUACCUACAGAGAGUAGGUACGUUACUCGCAGAAUAAGCACCGGCUAACUCUGU